This is a non-coding RNA of Pelobates cultripes (western spadefoot toad), 401 nucleotides long. Lineage: Eukaryota; Metazoa; Chordata; Amphibia; Anura; Pelobatidae. The record is from the annotation of a GenBank genome assembly.
CAUACAUCUGCCCAUACCAUAACCCCACCGCCACCAUGGGCCACUCUACCAACAAUGUUGACAUCAGCAAACCGCUGACCAACACUAUGCCAUACAUGCUGUCUGCCAUCUGCCCUGUACAGUGAAAACCGGGAUUCAUCCGUGAAGAGAACACCUCUCCAAAGUGCCAGACGCCAUAGAAUGUGAGCAUUUUCCCCACUCAAGUCGGUUACAACCACAAACUGCAGUCAGGUCGAGACCCGGACAAGAACGAUGAGCUUCCCUGAGACGGUUUCUGUUUGUGCAGAAAUUCUUUGGUUAUGCAAAAAGAUUGUCGCAGCAGCUGUCCAGGUGGCUGGUCUCAGACGAUCUUGGAGGUGAAGAUGCUGCAUGUGGAGGUCCUGGGCUGGUGUGGUUACAUG